UACGUAGGGACCAAGCGUUGUUCGGAUUUACUGGGCGUAAAGGGCGCGUAGGCGGCGUGGUAAGUCACUUGUGAAAUCUCUGAGCUUAACUCAGAACGGCCAAGUGAUACUGCUGUGCUAGAGUGCAGAAGGGGCAAUCGGAAUUCUUGGUGUAGCGGUGAAAUGCGUAGAUAUCAAGAGGAACACCUGAGGUGAAGACGGGUCGCUGGGCUGACACUGACGCUGAGGCGCGAAAGCCAGGGGAGCAAACGGG
RNAcentral lists this ribosomal RNA (253 nucleotides) under uncultured bacterium. RNAcentral's name for it is "partial 16S ribosomal RNA". It matches the Rfam family "Bacterial small subunit ribosomal RNA", at positions 524 to 776 of the family's 1533-position model. The record is from RNAcentral.